GACGAACGCUGGCGGCGUGCCUAAUGCAUGCAAGUCGAACGCGGCACCUUCGGGUGCUGAGUGGCGAACGGCUGAGGAACACGGGGGGACCUGUCCGGGCGUGGGGGACAACACCGCGAAAGCGGUGCUAAUCCCGCAUACGCCCUGAGGAGGCAAGCCGAAAGGCGCUCCCGGGUGGCCCUGCGGCCCCUAAGGUUGUUGGUGGGGUAAUGGCCUACCAAGCCAAUGAAGGGUCGCUGGUCUGUGCGGACGACCAGCCAGGCUGGGACUUGGACACGGCCCAGACUCGUACGGAAGGCAGCAGCAAGGAAUUUUCGGCAAGGGGCGCAAGCCUGACCGAGCAACGCCGCGUGCAGGAAGACGGCCGUCGGGUUGUACUCUGCUUUUGCUAGGGAUUAUAACAGACGGUACCUGGCGAAGCAGCCCCGGCUAACUCUGUG
Molecule: ribosomal RNA, 440 nt
Filed under: uncultured bacterium
Lineage: Bacteria
Description: partial 16S ribosomal RNA
Rfam family: Bacterial small subunit ribosomal RNA
Source: RNAcentral